UAGGGAAUAUUGGGCAAUGGAGGGAACUCUGACCCAGCCAUGCCGCGUGCAGGAUGAAGGCGUUAUGCGUUGUAAACUGCUUUUUAUAUAGGAAGAAAUAGUCCUUGCGAGGAAAGUUGACGGUACUAUAUGAAUAAGCACCGGCUAACUCCGUGCCAGCAGCCGCGGUAAUACGGAGGGUGCAAGCGUUGUCCGGAUUUAUUGGGUUUAAAGGGUGCGUAGGCGGUUUAUUAAGUCAGUGGUGAAAGACGGUCGCUCAACGAUUGCAGUGCCAUUGAUACUGGUAGACUUGAGUAUGAUUGAGGUAGCUGGAAUGGAUAGUGUAGCGGUGAAAUGCAUAGAUAUUAUCCAGAACACCAAUUGCGUAGGCAAGUUACUAAGUCAUAACUGACGCUGAGGCACGAAAGUGUGGGUAUCAAACAGGAUUAGAUACCCUGUAGUCCCUGAGCGGGCUGGCAAGGCGCAU
Molecule: ribosomal RNA, 466 nt
Filed under: uncultured bacterium
Lineage: Bacteria
Description: bacterial SSU rRNA
Rfam family: Bacterial small subunit ribosomal RNA
Source: RNAcentral